CAGUUCAACGAGAGGCGUGAAUGCGUAUAGAUGUGUAAAAAUGGAGGACGAAAAACUAAUAGAAUGUGUACCGUAGAAGAUUACCCCAAUUUAA
Melitaea cinxia (Glanville fritillary) is the source of this 94-nucleotide long non-coding RNA. RefSeq lists it as uncharacterized. NCBI's taxonomy places the organism in Eukaryota, Metazoa, Arthropoda, Insecta, Lepidoptera, Nymphalidae. The record is from RefSeq and is a predicted model, not a curated record. The transcript is spliced from 4 exons.